CUGCUCACUUCAGCAACACAUGCAGUAAAACUGGAAUGAUAUAAAGAAGAUUAUCAUGGCCCCUGCAUAAGAAUGACACGCAAAUUUGUGAAGUGUUCCUAUUUUUC
This 107-nucleotide small nuclear RNA is filed under the name Procavia capensis (Cape rock hyrax). The record is from RNAcentral. Lineage: Eukaryota; Metazoa; Chordata; Mammalia; Hyracoidea; Procaviidae.